This 2601-nucleotide long non-coding RNA is filed under the name Sinocyclocheilus grahami. RNAcentral describes it as "lncRNA (ENSSGRG00000025224.1)". The record is from RNAcentral. Lineage: Eukaryota; Metazoa; Chordata; Actinopteri; Cypriniformes; Cyprinidae.
AUGAAAUGAUAUCACUAGCUAGGGUAAAUUGUAAUAUUUUACGAUUUCUCUGUUUUUACUGUAUUUUAAAUCAAAUAAAUGCUGCCUUAAAACCCAACAUUUUUGAACGGUAAUGGAUGCUUUUACUGGCAUUUGGAUUUUGACCAAUCAGAUGUGUCAAAACCAUGGUGCAUCUGCAUAGUCAUGGUUAUACAUUUUUAUAGUAUGAACGCUGCGACAACUUUAAAAAAAGAGCUGGCUGAGUGCUAGUUUUAGGACAUGCGUGUUUGAUGAGAUCAGAUGUGUCAGAUGUGUAAUCUGGUUGGUCUGUUCCUGUUGCAGAUGCAGACGGAGCUGGAGAAGCACAUAUCGAAGGAGCUGGACUAUGUGACAGGAGAGCUGGAAGGAGGAAGUGCCCGCAUGUCUCCCGUAGGAUCGGCCUCUGGCUCUCAGAAUCUGAACGUGAGUCUGGAGCCGCCGGACCCCGUGAGCAGAGCCACUCAACAGUACCUGGAGGUGCUGAAGAAGAACUACAUGAUCUGAGCCGCGGUCAGUCCACACACUGUGAGCACAAUCAACUCCAGCGCCUUAUCGCUGACCCACAAACCCACUCAACCACCCUAAAAACACUAGUUUGUUUAUUAAAGCUGGCGUUUUAAAAGCAGUUAUGCUGCCUCCUUAUGGUCACUGAAGAAAUAGUUCACCCAAAAAUGAAAAUUUGCUGGCCAACUAAAAAUGAGUUUGUUUCUUAAUGGGAACAGAUUUGGAGAAAUGUAGCAUUCCAUCACUUGUUCACCAAUUGAUCCUUUGCAGUGAAUGGGUGCUGUCAGAAUGAGAGUCCAAACAGCUGAUAAAAACAUCACAAUAAUCCACAAGUAAUCCACGCCACUCCAGUCCAGCAGGUAAUGUCUUGUGGAUUAUUGUGAUGUUUUUUAUUGUGACUGCAGAGCAUCCAUUGGUUGAGCAAGUGAUGGAAUGCUAAAUACAUCUUUGAUGACUUAAAGUUGAGCACAUUUUCAGCAAAUUUUCAUUUUGGAUGAACUAUUCCUUUCAAGUCUGAAAAUGUUCUUCAGAGUUUGUUUAACGAAAGGCUCAUUAUCGAAGUAGAAUAUAUUUAUACUUGUAAAAUCCCGGGCACCGGACUGAUUCCUGCUGGUCAGGAGCCAACGUCGCCAUUUUUUCUGAGUCAAAAUGAGUGAAAAACUCUGAAACGAGGCUGCCUGUCUGGACUUGUGUAUUAGUCCAGACCACCAAAAGGGCCAAAGUUUCAACACUACAAUCAGUUUGUGAUCUUUAAUCGAGUGUGACAAUGCACUUUUGUGCCUCAGGAGCAAGUGAACUGUGUGUUUAAGUCAUUCUGUCAUUGUUGAAGCCAUACAAGCGUCACUGAGGUUUUAUGGUACGUGUGAAAUGCAGCUUUCAGUGUUGCAUUCCCAAAGUCUUUUGUUUUUAUCAUAUGUGGGGUUUUAGUUGACUAUGUAUAUAUUUUGGCUGUUUUUGUAGUCGAGGCAUAUUAUAAAGAGUGUUACAUUUGUACCGUUAAUAUUAUUGCCAAGUAAUGACAAUGGUACAUUCUGUUAUCGUGCAAUAUAUACACAACUUAUUUUAAUUUCAAAUGACCAAACACUCAUUUGGAGAUGUUUUUUGGGAAAUUAAUGCUAUACUUUGAAUGAGACAAAACUAGACAAUGAUCUGGUGAUUUUCUAGAGUAUGUGACAGUGUCACCGCUUCGCUGUGCUCAGGCUGAAUCUUUUCGUGUGUAUGAUUGAAUCUCACCAGGUCAUAUUUUAGAUAUUGCAUAAAUUAUAUUUUGCAUAAUGUUAUUAAAAAAAAUCUUUUUUUGCAUGAUAUUUUCUUAACAGUUAAGCACAUUUUACCCCCCAAAUUCACAUUACUGUAAUUAAAAAUGAUUAAAGUAUAUAUAUACACACACACACACACAAAUCAAAACAAACACUACAAUGCAUAUACAAUUUUAAUAUAUAUACAUGUUUAUAAAAAAUAUAUAUAUAAACAAAUAUAUAAAUAACAUUAAAUUUGCUUUAUUAUUAAUUGUACAAAACAUGUUAAAGCUUAAUUUGCAAAAUGCCAAUAAAACACUGUUUUUUGCAUUGUGAUAUUUUCUUUAAACAGACAAUUAAACUGAUUUUACCACCAAAUUCUUUUUCUAAUUAAAAUUUUUUUUUUUAAAUACAAAUUAAAUUCAAUAGAACAGACACUACCAUGUAACAUGCUAUAUAUCUCUCUCUAUAUAUAUAUCGCUCUCUGUAUAUACAGUGGUGUGAAAAAGUGUUGGCCCCCUUCCUGAAUUCUUAUUUUUUUUGCACGUUUGUCACACUUUAAUGUUUCAGAUCAUCAAACAAAUUUAAAUAUUAGUCAAAGAUAACACAAGUAAACACAACAUGCAGUUUUUAAAUGAAGGUUUUUAUUAUUAAGGGAAAACAAAAUCCAAAACUACAUGGCCCUGUGUGAAGAAGUGUUUGCCCCCCUGUUAAAACUGUGGUUUAUCACACCUGAGUUCAAUUUCUCUAGCCACACCCAGGCCUGAUUACUGCCACACCUGUUCUCAAUCAAGAAAUCUCUUAAAUAAGACCUGCCUGACAAAGUGAAGUAGACCAAAAG